UACGGGGGGGGCAAGCGUUGUUCGGAAUUACUGGGCGUAAAGGGCUCGUAGGCGGCCAACUAAGUCAGACGUGAAAUCCCUCGGCUUAACCGGGGAACUGCGUCUGAUACUGGAUGGCUUGAGAUUGGGAGAGGGAUGCGGAAUUCCAGGUGUAGCGGUGAAAUGCGUAGAUAUCUGGAGGAACACCGGUGGCGAAGGCGGCAUCCUGGACUAACACUGACGCUGAGGGAGCGAAAGCCAGGGGAGCAAACGGG
Molecule: ribosomal RNA, 254 nt
Filed under: uncultured bacterium
Lineage: Bacteria
Description: partial 16S ribosomal RNA
Rfam family: Bacterial small subunit ribosomal RNA
Source: RNAcentral